CUUGCACCAUUCUCCUCCUCCCCCGACGCCGACCCGCGGAUUCUGCUUCCUCCCCUCCCAUUUUAUCGCUCGCCUCGCCGGCGCCCGGCCCCGCUCUUGCUUCGCUGUGGAGACCGGUAAUUUCUCUUUUCUCUCAAUCAGUGCGGCAUUGCAGUUAGCCCCUGCCCUUUUCUUCUCCCAUUCACCCCCGCGGCGUCCCUACGCCAGGGGCCCAGGUGUAGCUUCGUCGGUCCCUUCGCCAGGUCUUCUCCGGCCCUUCGCCGGCGGCCGCACAGCGCCUACUAGGUAUGCGCGCCCCUCGCCCCCUCCUCCCUUUCUUCCUGCUCUGCUAAACCAGGCACCCGAACCGUAACCUGGACUAUUUGGGUAUGUGUAUUCGGAUCUGAUCUAAUUACAAGUGUUUUUUU
This 407-nucleotide long non-coding RNA is filed under the name Sorghum bicolor (sorghum). RNAcentral's name for it is "long non-coding RNA (SBIC_LNC001782)". The record is from RNAcentral. Lineage: Eukaryota; Viridiplantae; Streptophyta; Magnoliopsida; Poales; Poaceae.